UGAGUACGAGAUGCUACGGCAUUGAAGCAGUCUAUGUCAUACUUCCAAGAAAAGCUUGCACUGUCAUAAACAAAGAAUGCCUGUACCAUAACCGACACAGGUGGGUAGGUAGAGUAUACUAAGGGGCGCGAGAUAACUCUCUCUAAGGAACUCGGCAAAAUGACUCCGUAACUUCGGGAGAAGGAGUGCCUUAUUUUUAAGGUUGCAAUAACAAGAUCCAAGCAACUGUUUAUCAAAAACACAGGUCUCCGCUAAGUCGUAAGACGAUGUAUGGGGGCUGACGCCUGCCCAGUGCCAGAAGGUUAAAGAAGUUGGUUAGCAUUCGCGAAGCUGAUAACUGAAGCCCUGGUGAACGGCGGCCGUAACAAUAACGGUCCUAAGGUAGCGAAAUUCCUUGUCGGGUAAGUUCCGACCCGCACGAAAGGCGUAAUGAUUUGGAUACUGUCUCGGAGAGGGACUCGGUGAAAUAGACUUGUCUGUGAAGAUGCGGACUACCUGCACCUGGACAGAAAGACCCUAUGAAGCUUUACUGUAACUUGAAAUUGAAAUUGGACUUUAGUUGCGCAGGAUAGGUGGGAGGCGUUGAGAAUAUUCUUGCGGGAGUAUUGGAGCCAUCAGUGAGAUACCACUCUUCUAAUGUUAGAUUUCUAACUUUGUAUCAUUAUCUGGUCAAAGAACAGUUUCAGGCGGGCAGUUUGACUGGGGCGGUCGCCUCCUAAAGGGUAACGGAGGCGCACAAAGGUUUCCUCUGAACGAGUAGAAAUCGUAUCUAGAGUGUAAAGGCAUAAGGAAGCUUGACUGUGAGACCUACAAGUCGAGCAGGGACGAAAGUCGGUCUUAGUGAUCUGACGGUGCUGAGUGGAAAGGCCGUCACUCAACGGAUAAAAGUUACUCUAAGGAUAACAGGCUGAUCUCCCCCAAGAGUUCACAUCGACGGGGAGGUUUGGCACCUCGAUGUCGGCUCAUCGCAUCCUGGGGCGGUAGUACGUCCCAAGGGUUGGGCUGUUCGCCCAUGAAAGCGGUACGCGAGCUGGGUUCAGAACGUCGUGAGACAGUUCGGUCCAUAUCCGGUGUAGGCGUUAGAAUAUUGAGAGGAGCCUUCUCUAGUACGAGAGGACCGAGAAGGACAUACCUCUAGUGUACCAGUUAUCAUGCCAACGGUAAACGCUGGGUAGCUAUGUAUGGAGUGGAUAACCGCUGAAAGCAUCUAAGUGGGAAGCCCACCUCAAGAUAAGUA
This 1237-nucleotide ribosomal RNA is filed under the name metagenome. RNAcentral's name for it is "bacterial LSU rRNA". It matches the Rfam family "Bacterial large subunit ribosomal RNA", at positions 1564 to 2810 of the family's 2925-position model. The record is from RNAcentral.